UGACCCGGACGCGCGCCUGGGAGCGCGACGGCCGCCCCCGGCGGUCGGCGGUUUCGGGGUUCGGGUUCUCCGGGACGA
RNAcentral lists this transfer RNA (78 nucleotides) under Streptomonospora litoralis. RNAcentral's name for it is "Streptomonospora sp. M2 tRNA-Gly". Lineage: Bacteria; Bacillati; Actinomycetota; Actinomycetes; Streptosporangiales; Nocardiopsidaceae. The record is from RNAcentral.